GAUGAACGCUGGCGGCGUGCCUAAUACAUGCAAGUCGAGCGAACGGACGAGAAGCUUGCUUCUCUGAUGUUAGCGGCGGACGGGUGAGUAACACGUGGAUAACCUACCUAUAAGACUGGGAUAACUUCGGGAAACCGUAGCUAAUACCGGAUAAUAUUUUGAACCGCAUGGUUCAAAAGUGAAAGACGGUCUUGCUGUCACUUAUAGAUGGAUCCGCGCUGCAUUAGCUAGUUGGUAAGGUAACGGCUUACCAAGGCAACGAUGCAUAGCCGACGUGAGAGGGUGAUCGGCCACACUGGAACUGAGACACGGUCCAGACUCCUACGGGAGGCAGCAGUAGGGAAUCGUCCGCAAUGGGCGAAAGCCUGACGGAGCAACGCCGCGUGAGUGAUGAAGGUCUUCGGAUCGUAAAACUCUGUUAUUAGGGAAGAACAUAUGUGUAAGUAACUGUGCACAUCGUGACGGUACCUAAUCAGAAAGCCACGGCUAACUACGUG
RNAcentral lists this ribosomal RNA (497 nucleotides) under uncultured bacterium. Its description in RNAcentral is "partial 16S ribosomal RNA". It matches the Rfam family "Bacterial small subunit ribosomal RNA", at positions 28 to 507 of the family's 1533-position model. The record is from RNAcentral.